AUGGCUCAGGAUGAACGCUGGCGGCGUGCUUAACACAUGCAAGUCGAACGGAGUAUUGAAAGCUUGCUUUGAAUAACUUAGUGGCGGACGGGUGAGUAACGCGUGGGUAACCUGCCUUAUACCGGGGGACAACAGUUGGAAACGACUGCUAAUACCGCAUAAGCGCACAAGAAGGCAUCUUCUAGUGUGAAAAAACUCCGGUGGUAUAAGAUGGACCCGCGUCUGAUUAGCCAGUUGGCGGUGUAACGGACCACCAAAGCGACGAUCAGUAGCCGGCCUGAGAGGGCAAACGGCCACAUUGGGACUGAGACACGGCCCAAACUCCUACGGGAGGCAGCAGUGGGGAAUAUUGCACAAUGGAGGAAACUCUGAUGCCAGCGACGCCGCGUGAGUGAAGAAGUAUCUCGGUAUGUAAAGCUCUAUCAGCAGGAAAGAAAAUGACGGUACCUGACUAAGAAGCCCCGGCUAACUACGUGCCAGCCGCCGC
RNAcentral lists this ribosomal RNA (487 nucleotides) under uncultured bacterium. Its description in RNAcentral is "bacterial SSU rRNA". It matches the Rfam family "Bacterial small subunit ribosomal RNA", at positions 19 to 518 of the family's 1533-position model. The record is from RNAcentral.